This 464-nucleotide ribosomal RNA is filed under the name gut metagenome. RNAcentral's name for it is "bacterial LSU rRNA". It matches the Rfam family "Bacterial large subunit ribosomal RNA", at positions 2332 to 2795 of the family's 2925-position model. The record is from RNAcentral.
CGGAAACCAUUCGCAGAGUGCAAAGGCAGAAGGGAGCUUGACUGCGACACCGACGGGUGGAGCAGGUACGAAAGUAGGGCUUAGUGAUCCGGUGGUAUUAAGUGGGAAUGCCAUCGCUCAACGGAUAAAAGCUACCCUGGGGAUAACAGGCUUAUCACUCCCAAGAGUUCACAUCGACGGAGUGGUUUGGCACCUCGAUGUCGGCUCAUCGCAUCCUGGGGCUGUAGUAGGUCCCAAGGGUUGGGCUGUUCGCCCAUUAAAGCGGUACGCGAGCUGGGUUCAGAACGUCGUGAGACAGUUCGGUCCCUAUCCGGCGUGGGCGUAGGAGAUCUGAGAGGAGCUGUCCUUAGUACGAGAGGACCGGGAUGGACGGACCGCUGGUGUACCGGUUAGACUGCCAAGUCUACGGCCGGGUAGCCAAGUCCGGAAGGGAUAAACGCUGAAGGCAUCUAAGCGUGAAGCCC